This 319-nucleotide long non-coding RNA is filed under the name Nicotiana benthamiana. Its description in RNAcentral is "long non-coding RNA (NBEN_LNC019936)". Lineage: Eukaryota; Viridiplantae; Streptophyta; Magnoliopsida; Solanales; Solanaceae. The record is from RNAcentral.
GAAUAGAACGAGGUGAGAAAAAUCCAGUUAAGAACCGGAGUUUCAAGCCAUAAACAUAAAGAUAAUAAUACUCACAAACAUAGCAAUGAACACAAGGCAAGUUCAUCAAGAAAAUGAAAAGUUUGAAGCCGAGUCUGAGUUGAAUCUUUUCGAGAUUCCUUCAGAUAAUAGCAAAAUCAAACAACCACUGAAGGUAAGAGGCCGGCUAGGGCCUAAAUUCAAAGGAAAACCCCAUGGAACAGAGGGUUUUUCGGUGAUGGCGGUUAGGGUUAGGGGAGUGUUUAAGAGAGAAGGAAGGAGGGAAGAAAUUUGGGGACAG